RNAcentral lists this non-coding RNA (29 nucleotides) under Homo sapiens (human). The record is from RNAcentral. Lineage: Eukaryota; Metazoa; Chordata; Mammalia; Primates; Hominidae.
UACCUGAUGUUCCUGAAAGAUGUUCCUGA